UACGUAGGGUGCGAGCGUUAAUCGGAAUUACUGGGCGUAAAGGGUGCGCAGGCGGAUAUGUAAGUUAGAUGUGAAAUACCCGAGCUUAACUUGGGAGCUGCAUUUAAGACUAUAUAUCUAGAGUUUAUCAGAGGGUGGUAGAAUUCCAAGUGUAGCAGUGAAAUGCGUAGAGAUUUGGAGGAAUACCAAUGGCGGAGGCAGCCACCUGGGAUAAAACUGACGCUCAGGCACGAAAGCGUGGGGAGCAAACAGG
Molecule: ribosomal RNA, 253 nt
Filed under: uncultured bacterium
Lineage: Bacteria
Description: partial 16S ribosomal RNA
Rfam family: Bacterial small subunit ribosomal RNA
Source: RNAcentral